RNAcentral lists this ribosomal RNA (253 nucleotides) under uncultured bacterium. RNAcentral describes it as "partial 16S ribosomal RNA". It matches the Rfam family "Bacterial small subunit ribosomal RNA", at positions 524 to 776 of the family's 1533-position model. The record is from RNAcentral.
UACGGAGGGGGCUAGCGUUGUUCGGAAUUACUGGGCGUAAAGCGCACGUAGGCGGCUUUGUAAGUUAGAGGUGAAAGCCCGGAGCUCAACUUCGGAAUUGCCUUUAAGACUGCAUCGCUUGAAUCAUGGAGAGGUCAGUGGAAUUCCGAGUGUAGAGGUGAAAUUCGUAGAUAUUCGGAAGAACACCAGUGGCGAAGGCGACUGACUGGACAUGUAUUGACGCUGAGGUGCGAAAGCGUGUGAAGCAAACAGG